AUUGAACGCUGGCGGCAUGCUUUACACAUGCAAGUCGAACGGUAACAGGUUAAGCUGACGAGUGGCGAACGGGUGAGUAAUGCAUCGGAACGUGCCCGAUCGUGGGGGAUAACGCAGCGAAAGCUGCGCUAAUACCGCAUACGAUCUGAGGAUGAAAGCGGGGGACCGUAAGGCCUAGCGCGAUCGGAGCGGCCGAUGGCAGAUUAGGUAGUUGGUGGGGUAAAGGCUCACCAAGCCAACGAUCUGUAGCUGGUCUGAGAGGACGACCAGCCACACUGGGACUGAGACACGGCCCAGACUCCUACGGGAGGCAGCAGUGGGGAAUUUUGGACAAUGGGCGAAAGCCUGAUCCAGCAAUGCCGCGUGCAGGUAGAAGGCCUUCGGGUUGUAAACUGCUUUUGUACGGAGCGAAAAGGUCCCCUCUAAUACAGGGGGCUCAUGACGGUACCGUAAGAAUAAGCACCGGCUAACUACGUGCCAGCCGCCGCCGUAA
This 493-nucleotide ribosomal RNA is filed under the name uncultured bacterium. Its description in RNAcentral is "partial 16S ribosomal RNA". It matches the Rfam family "Bacterial small subunit ribosomal RNA", at positions 29 to 523 of the family's 1533-position model. The record is from RNAcentral.